GCUGGCGUGGCUCAGUGGUAGAGCAGCGCACUCGUAAUGCGCAGGUCGUGGGUUCGACUCCCACCGCCAGCUCCA
This 75-nucleotide transfer RNA is filed under the name Limnochordaceae bacterium. Its description in RNAcentral is "tRNA-Thr". It matches the Rfam family "tRNA". Rfam says of the family: Transfer RNA (tRNA) molecules are approximately 80 nucleotides in length. Their secondary structure includes four short double-helical elements and three loops (D, anti-codon, and T loops). Lineage: Bacteria; Bacillati; Bacillota; Limnochordia; Limnochordales; Limnochordaceae. The record is from RNAcentral.